UAGGGAAUCUUCCACAAUGGACGCAAGUCUGAUGGAGCAACGCCGCGUGAGUGAAGAAGGUUUUCGGACCGUAAAGCUCUGUUGUUGGUGAAGAAGGAUAGAGGUAGUAACUGGCCUUUAUUUGACGGUAAUCAACCAGAAAGUCACGGCUAACUACGUGCCAGCAGCCGCGGUAAUACGUAGGUGGCAAGCGUUGUCCGGAUUUAUUGGGCGUAAAGCGAGCGCAGGCGGAAGAAUAAGUCUGAUGUGAAAGCCCUCGGCUUAACCGAGGAAUUGCAUCGGAAACUGUUUUCUUGAGUGCAGAAGAGGAGAGUAAAAC
This 319-nucleotide ribosomal RNA is filed under the name uncultured bacterium. RNAcentral describes it as "partial 16S ribosomal RNA". It matches the Rfam family "Bacterial small subunit ribosomal RNA", at positions 355 to 667 of the family's 1533-position model. The record is from RNAcentral.